This is a long non-coding RNA of Onychomys torridus (southern grasshopper mouse), 293 nucleotides long. RefSeq lists it as uncharacterized. NCBI's taxonomy places the organism in Eukaryota, Metazoa, Chordata, Mammalia, Rodentia, Cricetidae. The transcript is spliced from 3 exons. The record is from RefSeq and is a predicted model, not a curated record.
GUGACACAUGAUGAUGUGCAUGUUGACAUCACACAUGAAGAAUGGGCUUUAUUGGAUCCUUCACAAAGGAAUCUCUACAAAGAUGUGAUGCUGGAGACAUAUAUGAACCUCACUGCUAUAGGCUACAAUUGGGAAGAUCUUGAAGUUGAAGAACAUUGUCAAAGUUCUCAAAAACAUGGAAGGCAUGAAAAAAGUCUUACUACAGAGAAAUCAUGUGAACGUUAUCAGUGUGGUCAAGCCUUUGCACAUCCUACUCAUCUUCAAGUACAUAAAAGAACACGUACUGGAGAGAA